AUUGAACGCUGGCGGCAGGCCUAACACAUGCAAGUCGAACGGUAACAGGAAACAGCUUGCUGUUUCGCUGACGAGUGGCGGACGGGUGAGUAAUGUCUGGGAAACUGCCUGAUGGAGGGGGAUAACCACUGGAAACGGUAGCUAAUACCGCAUAACGUCGCAAGACCAAAGAGGGGGACCUUCGGGCCUCUUGCCAUCGGAUGUGCCCAGAUGGGAUUAGCUAGUAGGUGGGGUAACGGCUCACCUAGGCGACGAUCCCUAGCUGGUCUGAGAGGAUGACCAGCCACACUGGAACUGAGACACGGUCCAGACUCCUACGGGGGGCAGCAGUGGGGAAUAUUGCACAAUGGGCGCAAGCCUGAUGCAGCCAUGCCGCGUGUAUGAAGAAGGCCUUCGGGUUGUAAAGUACUUUCAGCGGGGAGGAAGGGAGUAAAGUUAAUACCUUUGCUCAUUGACGUUACCCGCAGAAGAAGCACCGGCUAACUCCGUGCCAGCCGCCGCCGUAA
RNAcentral lists this ribosomal RNA (506 nucleotides) under uncultured bacterium. Its description in RNAcentral is "partial 16S ribosomal RNA". It matches the Rfam family "Bacterial small subunit ribosomal RNA", at positions 30 to 523 of the family's 1533-position model. The record is from RNAcentral.